Tympanuchus pallidicinctus (lesser prairie-chicken) is the source of this 1398-nucleotide long non-coding RNA. RefSeq lists it as uncharacterized. NCBI's taxonomy places the organism in Eukaryota, Metazoa, Chordata, Aves, Galliformes, Phasianidae. The record is from RefSeq and is a predicted model, not a curated record. The transcript is spliced from 3 exons.
CGGGAUCGACCUUCACAACCCCGGGCCUGCCGGGCGCGACCCUUCUCGAAGGGCAGUGCCCGCCCGCAGCCAGCCGGGCGCGGCUCGCGGCCACCGCGGCGCCAGGAGGGGCAGCGCAGAGGCUCGAGCCGCACCGCCAUGGCGGCGGAGGGGCGGCCCGGCCGCGGGGCGGCAGUUCCAGAGCCGGAGGGACGGUUAGGCCCCGCCAGAGGGAGCCGGAGACCGCCGGCCCGCGGCUGAGCUUUUGACCUGGAAUUUGCCACAGUGCUGAUCUGCUGCCUUUCUGAAGGUAUGAACUGUGGGGAUGGUACUGUAAAAGUGGGAGAAGCUGAUCUGAAGCCUUUUCUUACUGCUGGAGGAGAGGGCCUGCAGAGUAAAGGCAGGUGGUGGCCAGGUGGUGUAGAGGGAGAGCACAAAAUUGAUUUCGGAGGCGCCUUGCUAUCUCCACCAUUACACACUGUGCUGUUAGCAUAGUGCACAUCACUGCCCUGUUCUCCUGUGUGUCUGGCAUGUUCAGUAUGUACAGAUACACAAAAGGAACGUGAUUCUUAAUGGGUGGGUUUGGGCUGUGACUCCUUCUUAGAGGCAGUUUCCACACUCCAGUAAGUUGGGGAUACAUGCAUGCUUUAGAGCCAAGUAUGACUUCUCUAUCCUUGCCAAUUUAUAUAAACAAAUUGCUGAACUGCCUGCAGGUGAAGGUUGCAUGGUCUGUCAUCUCUGGAAUUAGUAACACCUGUGUGAGUGAGACUGUCCUGUGAGUUUCCUACUCCUGUUGCAGCUCUGGGAAGACCAGCUUCCACAUCCUCAAGAUUUGUGUGCACACGGCAUAUGAAAAUACCUGUUUGGAACUAUGAUUGUUGGCAAGACCUGAGGCUGGAAAUCAAAACCAGAGAAUCGUAAGUGAGCAGAGGACUUGAAGACAACUACAGAAUUCACAAGUAAUUGCUGCUUAACUGACAAGUACCUUCAUUUAUAUAAACAUGGAGGGUAAUGAAGGAGAAGCUCUGCAUGCAGCCAGAAUGAAGGUAACACCUCUGGCUAUCAGGCACACCAGGCAGACUAGCCAAAGAAGCAUGACUUAAGUCUGAUACAGGCUGCUCAGUUCAAACUUCUAGCCAGCCAGCAUUUUAAACUUUAAUGCAGACAAGAACGGUUGUGUUCAUCAACAGAUGAUAACUUAAUAUUUAGCUUAUUCCUGAAGCUCAUCAUCUUCAGCUCAUGCUGCUGCAAACUGCAGUAUGCUGCAGCUGGUCUCCAGAAACAGGUCUGCUUAAAGCUUAGAGGAACCUGAAGUAAACGUAGUGGAGUUUGAAUGCUGCAGAAGAAAAAAAAGUAAAAGGCAAGCUGUUGCUGGAGUUAAGAAUAAAUUCCAAAUUCAGCUUAUCUAGCAAAGGGCUC